Molecule: ribosomal RNA, 555 nt
Filed under: uncultured Halalkalicoccus sp.
Lineage: Archaea; Methanobacteriati; Methanobacteriota; Halobacteria; Halobacteriales; Halalkalicoccaceae
Description: bacterial SSU rRNA
Rfam family: Archaeal small subunit ribosomal RNA
Source: RNAcentral
ACGGGGAGCAGCAGGCGCGAAACCUUUACACUGCACGACAGUGCGAUAAGGGGACCCCGAGUGCGAGGGCAUACAGUCCUCGCUUUUCGUGACCGUAAGGAGGUCACAGAAUAAGGGCUGGGCAAGACCGGUGCCAGCCGCCGCGGUAAUAUCGGCAGCUCGAGUGAUGGCCACUAUUAUUGGGCCUAAAGCGUCCGUAGCUGGCCGAACAGGUCCGUCGGGAAAUCCGCUCGCUCAACGAGCGGACGUCCGGCGGAAACCAGUCGGCUUGGGACCGGAGGACCCGAGGGGUACGUCCGGGGUAGGAGUGAAAUCCUGUAAUCCUGGACGGACCACCGGUGGCGAAAGCGCCUCGGGAGGACGGAUCCGACAGUGAGGGACGAAAGCUUGGGUCACGAACCGGAUUAGAUACCCGGGUAGUCCAAGCUGUAAACGAUGCUCGCUAGGUGUGGCACUGGCUACGAGCCAGUGCUGUGCCGUAGGGAAGCCGAGAAGCGAGCCGCCUGGGAAGUACGUCCGCAAGGAUGAAACUUAAAGGAAUUGGCGGGGGAGCAC